RNAcentral lists this ribosomal RNA (1479 nucleotides) under Weissella confusa. RNAcentral describes it as "bacterial SSU rRNA". It matches the Rfam family "Bacterial small subunit ribosomal RNA". Lineage: Bacteria; Bacillati; Bacillota; Bacilli; Lactobacillales; Lactobacillaceae. The record is from RNAcentral.
AUGGGGUGCCUAUACAUGCAAGUCGAACGCUUUGUGGUUCAACUGAUUUGAAGAGCUUGCUCAGAUAUGACGAUGGACAUUGCAAAGAGUGGCGAACGGGUGAGUAACACGUGGGAAACCUACCUCUUAGCAGGGGAUAACAUUUGGAAACAGAUGCUAAUACCGUAUAACAAUGACAACCGCAUGGUUGUUAUUUAAAAGAUGGUUCUGCUAUCACUAAGAGAUGGUCCCGCGGUGCAUUAGCUAGUUGGUAAGGUAAUGGCUUACCAAGGCGAUGAUGCAUAGCCGAGUUGAGAGACUGAUCGGCCACAAUGGGACUGAGACACGGCCCAUACUCCUACGGGAGGCAGCAGUAGGGAAUCUUCCACAAUGGGCGAAAGCCUGAUGGAGCAACGCCGCGUGUGUGAUGAAGGGUUUCGGCUCGUAAAACACUGUUGUAAGAGAAGAAUGACAUUGAGAGUAACUGUUCAAUGUGUGACGGUAUCUUACCAGAAAGGAACGGCUAAAUACGUGCCAGCAGCCGCGGUAAUACGUAUGUUCCAAGCGUUAUCCGGAUUUAUUGGGCGUAAAGCGAGCGCAGACGGUUAUUUAAGUCUGAAGUGAAAGCCCUCAGCUCAACUGAGGAAUUGCUUUGGAAACUGGAUGACUUGAGUGCAGUAGAGGAAAGUGGAACUCCAUGUGUAGCGGUGAAAUGCGUAGAUAUAUGGAAGAACACCAGUGGCGAAGGCGGCUUUCUGGACUGUAACUGACGUUGAGGCUCGAAAGUGUGGGUAGCAAACAGGAUUAGAUACCCUGGUAGUCCACACCGUAAACGAUGAGUGCUAGGUGUUUGAGGGUUUCCGCCCUUAAGUGCCGCAGCUAACGCAUUAAGCACUCCGCCUGGGGAGUACGACCGCAAGGUUGAAACUCAAAGGAAUUGACGGGGACCCGCACAAGCGGUGGAGCAUGUGGUUUAAUUCGAAGCAACGCGAAGAACCUUACCAGGUCUUGACAUCCCUUGACAACUCCAGAGAUGGAGCGUUCCCUUCGGGGACAAGGUGACAGGUGGUGCAUGGUUGUCGUCAGCUCGUGUCGUGAGAUGUUGGGUUAAGUCCCGCAACGAGCGCAACCCUUAUUACUAGUUGCCAGCAUUCAGUUGGGCACUCUAGUGAGACUGCCGGUGACAAACCGGAGGAAGGUGGGGAUGACGUCAAAUCAUCAUGCCCCUUAUGACCUGGGCUACACACGUGCUACAAUGGCGUAUACAACGAGUUGCCAACCCGCGAGGGUGAGCUAAUCUCUUAAAGUACGUCUCAGUUCGGAUUGUAGGCUGCAACUCGCCUACAUGAAGUCGGAAUCGCUAGUAAUCGCGGAUCAGCACGCCGCGGUGAAUACGUUCCCGGGUCUUGUACACACCGCCCGUCACACCAUGAGAGUUUGUAACACCCAAAGCCGGUGGGGUAACCUUCGGGAGCCAGCCGUCUAAGGUGACAGGAUUGG